AUUGAACGCUGGCGGCAGGCCUAACACAUGCAAGUCGAGCGGAUGACGGGAGCUUGCUCCUUGAUUCAGCGGCAGACGGGUGAGUAAUGCCUAGGAAUCUGCCUGGUAGUGGGGGACAACGUUUCGAAAGGAACGCUAAUACCGCAUACGUCCUACGGGAGAAAGCAGGGGACCUUCGGGCCUUGCGCUAUCAGAUGAGCCUAGGUCGGAUUAGCUAGUUGGUGGGGUAAUGGCUCACCAAGGCGACGAUCCGUAACUGGUCUGAGAGGAUGAUCAGUCACACUGGAAGUGAGACACGGUCCAGACUCCUACGGGAGGCAGCAGUGGGGAAUAUUGGACAAUGGGCGAAAGCCUGAUCCAGCCAUGCCGCGUGUGUGAAGAAGGUCUUCGGAUUGUAAAGCACUUUAAGUUGGGAGGAAGGGCAGUAAGCUAAUAUCUUGCUGUUUUGACGUUACCGACAGAAUAAGCACCGGCUAACUCUGUGCCAGCCGCCGCGGUAA
RNAcentral lists this ribosomal RNA (500 nucleotides) under uncultured bacterium. RNAcentral's name for it is "partial 16S ribosomal RNA". It matches the Rfam family "Bacterial small subunit ribosomal RNA", at positions 30 to 523 of the family's 1533-position model. The record is from RNAcentral.